RNAcentral lists this ribosomal RNA (501 nucleotides) under uncultured bacterium. RNAcentral's name for it is "partial 16S ribosomal RNA". It matches the Rfam family "Bacterial small subunit ribosomal RNA", at positions 30 to 523 of the family's 1533-position model. The record is from RNAcentral.
AUUGAACGCUGGCGGCAGGCUUAACACAUGCAAGUCGAGCGGGGGAAGGUAGCUUGCUACCGGACCUAGCGGCGGACGGGUGAGUAAUGCUUAGGAAUCUGCCUAUUAGUGGGGGACAACAUCUCGAAAGGGAUGCUAAUACCGCAUACGUCCUACGGGAGAAAGCAGGGGAUCUUCGGACCUUGCGCUAAUAGAUGAGCCUAAGUCGGAUUAGCGGGUUGGUGGGGUAGAGGCCUACCAAGGCGACGAUCUGUAGCGGGUCUGAGAGGAUGAUCCGCCACACUGGGACUGAGACACGGCCCAGACUCCUACGGGAGGCAGCAGUGGGGAAUAUUGGACAAUGGGGGGAACCCUGAUCCAGCCAUGCCGCGUGUGUGAAGAAGGCCUUAUGGUUGUAAAGCACUUUAAGCGAGGAGGAGGCUACUUUAGUUAAUACCUAGAGAUAGUGGACGUUACUCGCAGAAUAAGCACCGGCUAACUCUGUGCCAGCCGCCGCCGUAA